RNAcentral lists this ribosomal RNA (454 nucleotides) under uncultured bacterium. RNAcentral's name for it is "partial 16S ribosomal RNA". It matches the Rfam family "Bacterial small subunit ribosomal RNA", at positions 28 to 507 of the family's 1533-position model. The record is from RNAcentral.
GAUGAACGCUGACAGAAUGCUUAACACAUGCAAGUCCACUUGAACUUCGGUUUGGGUGGCGGACGGGUGAGUCACGCGUAAAGAACUUGCCUCACAGCUAGGGACAACAUUUGGAAACGAAUGCUAAUACCUGAUAUUAUGAUUUUAGGGCAUCCUAGAAUUAUGAAAGCUAUAUGCGCUGUGAGAGAGCUUUGCGUCCCAUUAGCUAGUUGGAGAGGUAACGGCUCACCAAGGCGAUGAUGGGUAGCCGGCCUGAGAGGGUGAACGGCCACAAGGGGACUGAGACACGGCCCUUACUCCUACGGGAGGCAGCAGUGGGGAAUAUUGGACAAUGGACCAAGAGUCUGAUCCAGCAAUUCUGUGUGCACGAUGAAGUUUUUCGGAAUGUAAAGUGCUUUCAGUUGGGAAGAAAAAAAUGACGGUACCAACAGAAGAAGUGACGGCUAAAUACGUG